This 684-nucleotide ribosomal RNA is filed under the name Pantoea sp. E45-PCAi-T2P21. RNAcentral describes it as "bacterial SSU rRNA". It matches the Rfam family "Bacterial small subunit ribosomal RNA", at positions 49 to 724 of the family's 1533-position model. The record is from RNAcentral. Lineage: Bacteria; Pseudomonadati; Pseudomonadota; Gammaproteobacteria; Enterobacterales; Erwiniaceae.
AGCUACCAUGCAGUCGGACGGUAGCACAGAGAGCUUGCUCUUGGGUGACGAGUGGCGGACGGGUGAGUAAUGUCUGGGGAUCUGCCCGAUAGAGGGGGAUAACCACUGGAAACGGUGGCUAAUACCGCAUAACGUCGCAAGACCAAAGAGGGGGACCUUCGGGCCUCUCACUAUCGGAUGAACCCAGAUGGGAUUAGCUAGUAGGCGGGGUAAUGGCCCACCUAGGCGACGAUCCCUAGCUGGUCUGAGAGGAUGACCAGCCACACUGGAACUGAGACACGGUCCAGACUCCUACGGGAGGCAGCAGUGGGGAAUAUUGCACAAUGGGCGCAAGCCUGAUGCAGCCAUGCCGCGUGUAUGAAGAAGGCCUUCGGGUUGUAAAGUACUUUCAGCGGGGAGGAAGGCGAUGCGGUUAAUAACCUUAUCGAUUGACGUUACCCGCAGAAGAAGCACCGGCUAACUCCGUGCCAGCAGCCGCGGUAAUACGGAGGGUGCAAGCGUUAAUCGGAAUUACUGGGCGUAAAGCGCACGCAGGCGGUCUGUUAAGUCAGAUGUGAAAUCCCCGGGCUUAACCUGGGAACUGCAUUUGAAACUGGCAGGCUUGAGUCUUGUAGAGGGGGGUAGAAUUCCAGGUGUAGCGGUGAAAUGCGUAGAGAUCUGGAGGAAUACCGGUGGCGAAAGCGG